This 465-nucleotide ribosomal RNA is filed under the name Vreelandella stevensii. RNAcentral's name for it is "partial 16S ribosomal RNA". It matches the Rfam family "Bacterial small subunit ribosomal RNA", at positions 338 to 795 of the family's 1533-position model. The record is from RNAcentral. Lineage: Bacteria; Pseudomonadati; Pseudomonadota; Gammaproteobacteria; Oceanospirillales; Halomonadaceae.
CCUACGGGCGGCAGCAGUGAGGAAUAUUGGACAAUGGGGGCAACCCUGAUCCAGCCAUGCCGCGUGUGUGAAGAAGGCCCUCGGGUUGUAAAUCACUUUCAGUGAGGAAGAACGCCUGGUGGUUAAUACCCAUCAGGAAAGACAUCACUCACAGAAGAAGCACCGGCUAACUCCGUGCCAGCAGCCGCGGUAAUACGGAGGGUGCGAGCGUUAAUCGGAAUUACUGGGCGUAAAGCGCGCGUAGGUGGCUUGAUAAGCCGGUUGUGAAAGCCCCGGGCUCAACCUGGGAACGGCAUCCGGAACUGUCAAGCUAGAGUGCAGGAGAGGAAGGUAGAAUUCCCGGUGUAGCGGUGAAAUGCGUAGAGAUCGGGAGGAAUACCAGUGGCGAAGGCGGCCUUCUGGACUGACACUGACACUGAGGUGCGAAAGCGUGGGUAGCAAACAGGAUUAGAUACCCGAGUAGUC